This 291-nucleotide ribosomal RNA is filed under the name uncultured bacterium. RNAcentral describes it as "partial 16S ribosomal RNA". It matches the Rfam family "Bacterial small subunit ribosomal RNA", at positions 773 to 1060 of the family's 1533-position model. The record is from RNAcentral.
GUGGAUUAGAUACCCUGGUAGUCCACGCCGUAAACGAUGGAUACUAGGUGUGGGGGGACUGACCCCCUCCGUGCCGCAGUUAACACAAUAAGUAUCCCACCUGGGGAGUACGAUCGCAAGGUUGAAACUCAAAGGAAUUGACGGGGGCCCGCACAAGCGGUGGAGUAUGUGGUUUAAUUCGAAGCAACGCGAAGAACCUUACCAGGGCUUGACAUCCUACUAACGAAGCAGAGAUGCAUUAGGUGCCCUUCGGGGAAAGUAGAGACAGGUGGUGCAUGGCCGUCGACAGCU